GACGAACGCUGGCGGCGUGCUCAACACAUGCAAGUCGAACGAUGAAGCUGGAGCUUGCUCCGGUGGAUUAGUGGCGAACGGGUGAGUAACACGUGAGCAAUCUGCCCUUGACUCUGGGAUAACUGCGGGAAACUGUAGCUAAUACCGGAUACUUUCACUGGAAGGCAUCUUCUGGUGAAGAAAGAAUUUCGGUCAAGGAUGAGCUCGCGGCCUAUCAGCUUGUUGGUGUGGUAACGGCUCACCAAGGCGACGACGGGUAGCCGGCCUGAGAGGGUGACCGGCCACACUGGGACUGAGACACGGCCCAGACUCCUACGGGAGGCAGCAGUGGGGAAUAUUGCACAAUGGGCGCAAGCCUGAUGCAGCAACGCCGCGUGAGGGAUGAAGGCCUUAGGGUUGUAAACCUCUUUUAGCAGGGAAGAAGCGAAAGUGACGGUACCUGCAGAAAAAGCACCGGCUAACUACGUGCCAGCCGCCGCAGUAA
RNAcentral lists this ribosomal RNA (484 nucleotides) under uncultured bacterium. RNAcentral describes it as "partial 16S ribosomal RNA". It matches the Rfam family "Bacterial small subunit ribosomal RNA", at positions 28 to 523 of the family's 1533-position model. The record is from RNAcentral.